GAUCAGCCCUGGGGUUCAGAGGGAUCCUGACGGCUACUCCUCAAGAUCCUCUCUGUUGUGAUUCAUCCCCCCCAGGCCCUACAGUUUCUCCUUCCUGACUCUUACAUUUCUUUGGAUGGCAUCACUAUUGCUGGAGUGCAGUGGUGUGAUCUCAGCUCACUGCAACCCCUGCCUCCUGGAUUCAAGCAAUUCUCCUGCCUCAGCCUCCCAAGUAGCUGGGAUUGCAGUACCUGUCUCCUCCCAUAGUUAGUUGCCAAGCACUGUGGAUUCUACCCCUCAGGGUCCAGACACCCAUUUUCCUUCCCACUGUUCCCUCCCCAUGGAGAAGCCUGUGGCUGACUGACAGCUCAACUUGGAGAAGGUGUUACCUGGGCCAGGUGGGGAAGGUAGGGUUGUUUGCAGAGCAAAGAAGUGAAGCCUAUUCAAUGUGAAAAAGAUGAGGGCGAAGACCUUUAUGAUGAUCCAAGUAAUGAACACACUGGAGAAAGUCAAACAGUCAAAACAAUGUCCCAGACUCCGUGAAGUUCCUGGGUAGAGAAGUAGACAGACGUACACCAUACCUAAUAAUUGGAGGUCCAAGAGAAUGAGAGAAUGGCAGAAAGAACUUUAGAGCAUGGGUAUGAUGGCUAGAGCUUGAGCAGCCAUUGUGGACAUCAGAUGAACCUGAAAGUGAAAACUAUGAGCUGAAUAUGACAAAGCAAAUAGAAAACUGGAUUCAUGAUGAC
Molecule: non-coding RNA, 725 nt
Filed under: Pongo abelii (Sumatran orangutan)
Lineage: Eukaryota; Metazoa; Chordata; Mammalia; Primates; Hominidae
Source: RNAcentral